Molecule: ribosomal RNA, 500 nt
Filed under: uncultured Sphingobacteriales bacterium
Lineage: Bacteria; Pseudomonadati; Bacteroidota; Sphingobacteriia; Sphingobacteriales
Description: bacterial SSU rRNA
Rfam family: Bacterial small subunit ribosomal RNA
Source: RNAcentral
UUGCCAGCCCGCUCAGAAACUCAAAGGAAUUGACGGGGCCCGCACAAGCGGUGGAGCAUGUGGUUUAAUUCGAUGAUACGCGAGGAACCUUACCUGGGCUCGAACGUAAGAUGACUGUAGGUGAAAGCUUACAUCUCUUCGGAGCAUUUUACGAGGUGCUGCAUGGUUGUCGUCAGCUCGUGCCGUGAGGUGUCGGGUUAAGUCCCAUAACGAGCGCAACCCCUACCUUUAGUUGCCAUCAGGUUAAGCUGGGGACUCUAAAGGAACUGCCUACGCAAGUAGUGAGGAAGGCGGGGAUGACGUCAAAUCAGCACGGCCCUUACGUCCAGGGCUACACACGUGCUACAAUGGCCGAUACAGAGGGCAGCUACCUGGUGACAGGAUGCAAAUCUCCAAAGUCGGUCUCAGUUCGGAUCGGAGUCUGCAACCCGACUCCGUGAAGUUGGAUUCGCUAGUAAUCGCGCAUCAGCCAUGGCGCGGUGAAUACGUUCCCGGGCCUU